CCUUAACGUAUUUAUUUUGUGCAAUACAUUUUUUUCCUUGUUUCAAUGUAUUUUUAUUUGAAUUUUUAGGUUCAUAUCAUUUGAAUCUUACUUAAUUUUGUCCUUUUUUUACGUGAACAGCAGCAUGAUUGUGUACAAACGAAUUAAGCAGUCAAUUAUCCAGUUCCUCCAUCAUCCUCCUCAUGUGUGUGUGUCUGUGUGUGUGUGUGUGUGCGUGUGUGUGUGUGUGUGUGUGUGUGUGUGUGCGUGUGUGUGUGUGUGUGUGUGUGUGUGUGUGUGUGUGUGUCUGUGUGUGUGGAGCAGAGAUGUGUCCUCGUGGAGAUGAAAGGAUGCAGACCGGCCUCAGGCUCCAAUUAAACCAGGCUGAGGUUGCUAUGGCGAUACAGGUGAACCAAAGUACUAAUAUGAGAUAUUCCUGACGGGGGGACGGGGGGACGGGGGGACAAAGGACGUGCUGUUCUGUGGACGCUGGGGGUUAAUGUUUAAACUUUAACCUUUAAAGCUUUUGUUCCUACUUUGUAAAUGUCGGUAGCUUUGGUUAUUUAGUUAUUAGGUUAAUUUACAGUUUUCACCAACUGCUUACACACGUUUUCAAAACUAAGUCUCCUGUUUUCAAAACUCUACACACAAUUCUUAAAACUGCACACACAAAAUAAAAUGCCUCACACCUCCUUCAAAAUGCAACACUACAUUCAAAAUGCCAUAAACACGUGUCAGAAUGAAGCAUUUGCAUCAAAUAGCAAACACUUCUUUCAUAAUAGUAAAUGUUGGGAUGUACCAUGUAAACACUGCUGAUCUAAAUCUAAAGCUCUGGUCUUUCAUAGGCUUAUAUCUACAUUUCAAUACAGCGUUCUACAGUGAAAGUGACGUGCUGAGAGGGGUAACAAGUACACCGGAAACCCCAAUGCGAUGUAGAAACAGAAAGUAAUUCUUAGGCCAAACAUUACUGUUGUAUACAUUAGCAUACAACAAAACUAUAAAGUAUAUUCUUUACAGUAGAAUACAGUAAAUUGUGUGUGGGGUCCCGGUCCAGGAAUUGGCAGGGGGGCAGAGGGGGGGUAUUUAGUAGAACGCUGGCUGUCUUCAUACUUCACGUUUCAGUGUUUUGUUGUUCCGUCUCUCGGGUUCCUCUGUGAGACGUUUCUUCUUCUUCUUUUUUAUAUUUGACGCUUCUGCUUUCACUUCCUCAUUCGGCUCAAACACAAAGGAUUCGUCCUGAUGUAAAAGUGAGGAAAGUCUGAAAAGAGAAUUAGCUAAACUAAACAAAUAAAAAGAGAUUUGGGAACUUUUCAACUAUUUCUCGCUUUCUUUUUGUUUAUUUCAGUCAUUGUAUAGUUUCAGGACAUCAAGACGUCCUUUUGAUCAUCCUGUACAGUGUGUGUAACAUCGUCCUGUACAGUGUGUGUAACAUCAUCCUGUACAGUGUGUGUAACAUCAUCCUGUACAGUGUGUGUAACAUCGUUCUGUACAGUGUGUGUAACAUCAUCCUGUACAGUGUGUGUAACAUCGUCCUGUAUAGUGUGUGUAACAUCGUCCUGUACAGUGUGUGUAACAUCGUCCUGUACAGUGUGUGUAACAUCAUCCUGUACAGUGUGUGUAACAUCGUUCUGUACAGUGUGUGUAACAUCGUCCUGUAUAGUGUGUGUAACAUCAUCCUGUAUAUUGCGUAUUUCUUUAAGAGAGACAGUAACAGUGCGUUAAAGUUGACGUUACGUUAAACCGCUCGGUGCUCAGAGCAGAUAACUGAGACGAUAUUGAUCUUUUUAUCAAAGGCAGAUGUUGUUGUUGUUGUUGUUGAUGCAGCUGUGAGUGAAGGAGCUGCUGGUCACUCGUCACAGGAAAUACACGCAGUGAGAAGUGAUUCAUUACACACCGUUGUUUCAAUUGUGAGGCUGUUUCCUUCUCUGGAAACACACACACACACAGACACACACACACACACACACACAGACACACACACACACACACAGACACACACACGUUUGAUCACAUGAGCAGGUUGUUGACGUUCUUUCUACAGUCACGUGAUGACUUUGCUCAGGAGGCCGCUGAUCACUGUGCAAACUCAUGCCUCCUCUCCACCCUCCCUGCCUCCCCCCUCUCCUCCCUCCUCUCUCACCUCUUCGACUGUCACCUCCCUCUACUCGCUCUCCUCUUUUCCCAUCAGUGUGUCUCACCCUUCUGUCUCCUCUCUUUAAUGCAAACUCACGCCUCCUCCCUCCCCCCUCUCUCCUCUGUCACCUCUCUCCUCCCUACCUCCCUCUCUCCUCUGUCACCUCCCUGCCUCUCUCCUCUGUCUCCUCCCUCCUCCCUCUCUCCUCUGUCACCUCUCUCCUCCCUACCUCCCUCUCUCCUCCCUCUCUCCUCUGUCACCUCUCUCCUCCCUCCCUCCCUCUCUGUGUGUGUGUGUGUAGCUGUUUGUGUAAGUAUCAUUAUCAUCACCUCAGUACAUGGGUUUUCAAAAUAAAACUUCUGUAAGUAACAUUCAUGCCACAUGGCCAUUCAGAGAGCGUUGUUACAGGGGCUUUUAUUUUGACGGGGCCCUGCGUACUGGAUCUCAGCCCACUUCUAUGACUGUUUUCACCAGGAAAAAGGAGCUGGAUGAAUCGUCUGUUGGGCGUCAGAGGCUGAUGAAAGCGAACGAUGACAUCAACCUUCCCGGCUUUCGGGAUCUUUUUUGUGUCUCAGAGUCUUCACUCUGUGGCUCCCAGCAUGGCGGCGUCCUCCCGGCCUGCUUUGCAUGAGGCCGCGGGGAUCUGGAUCAGAGAGGGCGGGAGUUAUGAGACGGGCGACCCGGGGGGGGAGAGAACCUUCUCACGUCAUCGGCCUGUGAGUUACACUCCGUUACAGCCCUCCCUCAGUCCGCUGCCUGCUGCUCUCUGUCUGGCUGGGGCCAGUCGCCCGAAGCACCGGGGCAAUUGUUUUUUUUUGGGGGGGGGGGUUCAGAAAUGAGCCUCGACAACGUGGAAGCAGCAGAUCUGCAGUCAGGUGCUAAAAGAUUCUUCGUGCCGUUUCAACAAGUCUUCACUAACAGAGAUGGAAAGUCUGCUGUGAACCUUUUUUUCCUGGGGCAAGAAUCAGAGACACAGAUGUAAUAUUAAGUAGAAUUAAAUAUCCCAAAAGGCCCCUUAACGUGUCAGCCAACACUGGACUCUGACCUCUGACCUCUGGUUACAGAUUGCUCUGACCUGUGGGGGGCGGGGGGUUAACAUUUGAGGUCACAGGAUUACAGCAGCAGAGGUCAAAAUGCAAACAGAAGCAAGA
Long non-coding RNA from Gasterosteus aculeatus aculeatus (three-spined stickleback), 3264 nucleotides. NCBI's taxonomy places the organism in Eukaryota, Metazoa, Chordata, Actinopteri, Perciformes, Gasterosteidae. The record is from Ensembl.